This 503-nucleotide ribosomal RNA is filed under the name uncultured Glomeromycotina. Its description in RNAcentral is "partial small subunit ribosomal RNA". It matches the Rfam family "Eukaryotic small subunit ribosomal RNA", at positions 591 to 1092 of the family's 1831-position model. The record is from RNAcentral. Lineage: Eukaryota; Fungi; Glomeromycota.
CCAAUAGCGUAUAUUAAAGUUGUUGCAGUUAAAAAGCUCGUAGUUGAAUUUCGGGGUUCAUCCGUUGGUCGGGCUUUUUUGGUCUGUACUGGCGUGAUGGAUUCCUACCUUCUGAAUAACCGGCAUGUCAUUAAUUUGGUGCGCCGGGGAAGCAGGACUGUUACCUUGAAAAAAUUAGAGUGCUUAAAGCAGGCUAUCGCCUGAAUACAUUAGCAUGGAAUAAUGAAAUAGGACUGCAUGGUUCUAUUUUGUUGGUUUCUAGGAUCACCGUAAUGAUUAAUAGGGAUAGUUGGGGGCAUUAGUAUUCAAUUGUCAGAGGUGAAAUUCUUGGAUUUAUUGAAGACUAACGUCUGCGAAAGCAUUUGCCAAGGAUGUUUUCAUUAAUCAAGAACGAAAGUUAGGGGAUCGAAGACGAUCAGAUACCGUCGUAGUCUUAACCAUAAACUAUGCCGACUAGGGAUCGGACGAUGUUAAUUUUUUAAUGACUCGUUCGGCGCCUUACG